This 277-nucleotide unclassified non-coding RNA is filed under the name Ganoderma lucidum. Its description in RNAcentral is "partial internal transcribed spacer region". The stretch from base 1 to 46 matches the Rfam family "Eukaryotic small subunit ribosomal RNA", at positions 1786 to 1831 of the family's 1831-position model. Lineage: Eukaryota; Fungi; Basidiomycota; Agaricomycetes; Polyporales; Polyporaceae. The record is from RNAcentral.
AAGUCGUAACAAGGUUUCCGUAGGUGAACCUGCGGAAGGAUCAUUAUCGAGUUUUGACUGGGUUGUAGCUGGCCUCCCGAGACAUGUGCACGCCCUGCUCAUCCACUCUACACCUGUGCACUUACUGUGGGCUUCAGACGUCGUGAAGCGGGCUCUUUACGGAGCUUGUAGAGCGUGUCUGUGCCUGCGUUUACCACAAACUCUAUAAAGUAUUAGAAUGUGUAUUGCGAUGUAACGCAUCUAUAUACAACUUUCAGCAACGGAUCUCUUGGCUCUC